Molecule: long non-coding RNA, 333 nt
Filed under: Pongo abelii (Sumatran orangutan)
Lineage: Eukaryota; Metazoa; Chordata; Mammalia; Primates; Hominidae
Description: lncRNA (ENSPPYG00000036131.1)
Source: RNAcentral
AUGCACACCUACAGUGAUCACAGGCACUGCCUACUGGAAGGUCUUCUUUGGCUGGGUUCCAGUUUCCUCAGACGAUGUAGGGCAGGGAGUUCCACUUGUCAGCAUAUCCCACAGGGCCUUUCUCUUCAAAUGGACCCCAGAAGCCAACCACACAGCUGUCUCAGCAAGCGUAGGAGAUGGCACAUCAGAGACCAACAAUUGUUAGCACAGCAAAACUGGGCGUUUCUUUUCUUACUGAGCUUUGCAGCUACCUACACAGUUGUGUGUGGCAUCUCCUCCUGGGGGCAAGGACAUGAGAUGACAUCAGCUUCAGCUGGUUCUCCUAAACCGUGA